Non-coding RNA from Cantharellus anzutake, 102 nucleotides. The record is from the annotation of a RefSeq genome assembly. Lineage: Eukaryota; Fungi; Basidiomycota; Agaricomycetes; Cantharellales; Hydnaceae.
GGUGAUUUGCCCGAGUGGUUAAGGGGGAGGUCUUAAGUUAAGGCAAUUUUUAAUUGCAAUCCUCUGCAGCGAUGCGCGUGAGUUCGAACCUCACAGUCACCA